ACUCGGUACGCGCGGAUCUUCCAGAGAUUAGAGUUUGAUCCUGGCUCAGGACGAACGCUGGCGGCGUGCUUAACACAUGCAAGUUGAACGGUCUGACAUGGAAGCUUGCUGAAGUGUCGGGUAGUAGCGGACGGGUGAGUAAUGCAUGAGAAGCUGCCAUUGGGAGGGGGACAACAGUUGGAAACGGCUGCUAAUACCCCAUAUGCCGAAAGGUGAAAGGGAGCGAUCCGCCCGAUGAGGUGCUCAUGUCCUAUCAGCUGGUUGGUGAGGUAACGGCUCACCAAGGCGACGACGGGUAGCCGGCCUGAGAGGGUGACCGGCCACACUGGAACUGAGAUACGGUCCAGACUCCUACGGGAGGCAGCAGUGGGGAAUAUUGGGCAAUGGGGGCAACC
This 395-nucleotide ribosomal RNA is filed under the name uncultured bacterium. RNAcentral's name for it is "bacterial SSU rRNA". It matches the Rfam family "Bacterial small subunit ribosomal RNA", at positions 1 to 382 of the family's 1533-position model. The record is from RNAcentral.